CUUGCCUCCCCCUAUACCAAGCUCACCUACCUUUUGAAGGGUAAUUGAUUCCAUUCCUGCCGGACAGCCUGGGAUCUGGCUCGCCCAGUGUCCUGCACUAAGCAGAAAGAAAACCAGCGAAAAUGCCUAGUGGAACCUAUCACUUAUCCAAUAGUAGAUCCUCAGAGUAGCAUUUUCAAGUGAAAGCCUCCUACUUUAUUGAGGAAAAACCUUACCAGCCUGGAUGUCAUCUUGGGAAAUCCACCAGUCCUCUAAGUAACUAAAACAACAGACGGUCCUGUGGUGUGGGCUCUAUGCAGGGAAAUGAUGGGUCAGCAGCAGCUGGUCAGCACCACCAAGAGCACUCCAGCUGCCUCAACAAUAGCCCUCAGAGAACCCAGCUCCAGAGCAUAAGCUGCUACCCAGGGAGGAAUUGCAUGGUAACCAGAUGCUGUCAAAGAAGAUUCCUGAGUCCUGCUUUAUCUGGUGAAAGAGGCAGCAA
Mesoplodon densirostris (Blainville's beaked whale) is the source of this 481-nucleotide long non-coding RNA. RefSeq lists it as uncharacterized. The transcript is spliced from 3 exons. The record is from RefSeq and is a predicted model, not a curated record. Lineage: Eukaryota; Metazoa; Chordata; Mammalia; Artiodactyla; Ziphiidae.